This 521-nucleotide ribosomal RNA is filed under the name Botryosphaeria fabicerciana. RNAcentral's name for it is "eukaryotic LSU rRNA". The stretch from base 151 to 304 matches the Rfam family "5.8S ribosomal RNA". The record is from RNAcentral. Lineage: Eukaryota; Fungi; Ascomycota; Dothideomycetes; Botryosphaeriales; Botryosphaeriaceae.
UCCCACCCUUUGUGUACCUACCUCUGUUGCUUUGGCGGGCCGCGGUUCUCCGCGGCCGCCCCCCUCCCCGGGGGGUGGCCAGCGCCCGCCAGAGGACCAUCAAACUCCAGUCAGUAAACGAUGCAGUCUGAAAAACAUUUAAUAAACUAAAACUUUCAACAACGGAUCUCUUGGUUCUGGCAUCGAUGAAGAACGCAGCGAAAUGCGAUAAGUAAUGUGAAUUGCAGAAUUCAGUGAAUCAUCGAAUCUUUGAACGCACAUUGCGCCCUUUGGUAUUCCGAAGGGCAUGCCUGUUCGAGCGUCAUUACAACCCUCAAGCUCUGCUUGGUAUUGGGCACCGUCCUUUGCGGGCGCGCCUCAAAGACCUCGGCGGUGGCGUCUUGCCUCAAGCGUAGUAGAACAUACAUCUCGCUUCGGAGCGCAGGGCGUCGCCCGCCGGACGAACCUUCUGAACUUUUCUCAAGGUUGACCUCGGAUCAGGUAGGGAUACCCGCUGAACUUAAGCAUAUCAAUAGGCGGAG